RNAcentral lists this unclassified non-coding RNA (441 nucleotides) under Hevea brasiliensis (rubber tree). The record is from RNAcentral. Lineage: Eukaryota; Viridiplantae; Streptophyta; Magnoliopsida; Malpighiales; Euphorbiaceae.
GCGGUCCACUUUGAGAACGAACUGGUACGUGUUCUAGAGAUAGCCAUUUGCUUUUUUGAUGCUGGGAUUUCUCUGCUGAAGGGGUGCUUUGAAGUUUAGUUUGGACUGAAUUGUGAAUUUGAGGGGUUUGGCGGCGUAAUUGGGAUACCUUUUUCUGAAUUGCGUGUUCCGUUCGGAUUCUGUGUUUUUGAGGAGAAAUUUAAGAUUUUAGCUCUGGGAUUUUGUUUUAUGUUUGGAAAUUUUGAGUUUAGGGUUGUCUGUGCAUCUGUUCUUGUUAUCUGUGCUUGUUUUAUGGUACAUAUGUGAUGCAAUUUGGGAUUUCUGGACUCAUGUUGCACUGCUUUUAAGCCCUUACUAGUUGCUACCAUAAUUUUCUCAUUUGAAUUUAUGAAAUUUUAGGGUUCUUUGUGGUUGAGUUGAUGCGAAAUUUUAGAUUUCUUU